Molecule: long non-coding RNA, 529 nt
Filed under: Struthio camelus australis
Lineage: Eukaryota; Metazoa; Chordata; Aves; Struthioniformes; Struthionidae
Description: lncRNA (ENSSCUG00000011128.1)
Source: RNAcentral
CUUGAAUCACAGCUCAGACACAAUAGCAGCCAUUGAGACGAGUUUUCUGUGACUUAACCAGCAAGCCCUGGUUCUGUUCUGAAUGAGGUUUUAUUGUGCUGCUGCUCCAAUUGAAUGACUUACUAUUGCUGUGAAGGACAGUCCUGCUCCCCCCUUCACCCUGUUGCUGGCCUUGCAGUCCCUUUUUUUAACUUAUGCCAACUCUAGUUCUUGAUUGAUCCACUUGUAAACUGGGUCAGUUUGCUCACUGGCCAAAAACUAAUUGCUGUUUUGAUUAAUUCGUUUUAGGCUGGCCUGGCUUACUGAAGCUGUGACAUGAGCACCAGAGCUGACGUGAAGAAAGCAUCAGGAGGGCACAUCUACAAACCAAACCACCCUUUUUGGAAACAGUGGGAUGUUAGAUUAGCCCCUGGAAGAGCAUGCAGGUAAACAAGUGUGUAGAAGAAAGAGUUCCAGGCACACAAAGGUUGGCUGGUAAGUCACCAACAUAUGAAAGGAAUAUUCUGGAACAAUUGUACCAGUUCUGUAU